UUGACCUCAAAUCAGGUAGGACUACCCGCUGAACUUAAGCAUAUCAAUAAGCGGAGGAAAAGAAACUAACAAGGAUUCCCCUAGUAACUGCGAGUGAAGUGGGAAAAGCUCAAAUUUAAAAUCUGACAGUCUUUGACUGUCUGAGUUGUAACCUAGAGAAGUGCUACCUGUGCUGGACCAUGUAUAAGUCUCCUGGAAUGGAGUGUC
This 207-nucleotide ribosomal RNA is filed under the name Amanita ponderosa. RNAcentral's name for it is "partial 28S ribosomal RNA". It matches the Rfam family "Eukaryotic large subunit ribosomal RNA", at positions 1 to 204 of the family's 3401-position model. Lineage: Eukaryota; Fungi; Basidiomycota; Agaricomycetes; Agaricales; Amanitaceae. The record is from RNAcentral.